This 483-nucleotide ribosomal RNA is filed under the name uncultured bacterium. Its description in RNAcentral is "bacterial SSU rRNA". It matches the Rfam family "Bacterial small subunit ribosomal RNA", at positions 30 to 518 of the family's 1533-position model. The record is from RNAcentral.
UGAACGCUGGCGGCGUGCUUAACACAUGCAAGUCGAACGGAGUUUAAAUGGAAGUUUCGGAUGGAAGUUAGAACUAGUGGCGGACGGGUGAGUAACGCGUGGGUAACCUGCCUCAUACAGGGGGAUAACAGUUAGAAAUGACUGACUAACACCGCAUAAUAUAGCGAAACCGCAUGAUUUUGCUAUCAAAUAUUUAUAGGUAUGAGAUGGGCCCGCGUCUGAUUAGCUAGUUGGUGGGGUAAAAGCCUACCAAGGCGACGAUCAGUAGCCGGCUUGAGAGAGUGACCGGCCACAUUGGGACUGAGACACGGCCCAAACUCCUACGGGAGGCAGCAGUGGGGAAUAUUGGACAAUGGGGGAAACCCUGAUCCAGCGACGCCCGCGUGAGUGAAGAAGUAUUUCGGUAUGUAAAGCUCUAUCAGCAGGGAAGAUAAUGACAGUACCUGACUAAGAAGCCCCGGCUAACUACGUGCCAGCAGCAGC